UACGUAGGGCGCAAGCGUUGUCCGGAAUUAUUGGGCGUAAAGAGCUCGUAGGCGGCUUGUUGCGUCGAAUGUGAAAUCUCAGGGCUCAACUCUGACAUUGCAUUCGAUACGGGCAGGCUCGAGUUCGGUAGAGGAGACUGGAAUUCCUGGUGUAGCGGUGAAAUGCGCAGAUAUCAGGAAGAACACCCGUGGCUAAGGCGGCUCUCUAGUACGGUACUGACGCUGAGACGCGAAAGCGUGGGGAGCGAACAGG
RNAcentral lists this ribosomal RNA (253 nucleotides) under uncultured bacterium. Its description in RNAcentral is "partial 16S ribosomal RNA". It matches the Rfam family "Bacterial small subunit ribosomal RNA", at positions 524 to 776 of the family's 1533-position model. The record is from RNAcentral.